UAAGACAUUGGUGGUGUAAAAUACAGUUUUCUGUGAUGUUUUUUUUUUUUUUUUUUUAAUCUUGAAACGUUAUCAGGGUAGCCAACGGUUUCACACAAAUGACUAAGCAAGCUGAAGGCCAGGCCCAUUCGCUGAGGACACUUCACUUCCACAUCAAGGUCACUCCAACUGAUGCAGAACCACAAGUGAGUGGAAAUGGUGGAGGAACAGGCUCAUCUGUAAGGAUCCCCUGCUGAGGCUGUUCAAUGGUCCAUAAGCCCAGCCACAUCCAACAUAUGUCAACAUGACGUAUGCUGCAUCCAUCCAUCCAUCCAUCCAUCCAUCCGUUUUCCACCGCUUAUCUGGGGCCGAGUGUGCUGAACCCUUCAAGACCGUUGCGUUGCCAUGACGAGCGAGGAGGAGGAGGGCCCCAACGUUGCAACACCAACAGCAACAACACCAUCAGCGGCAGCCAUCUCCAGGGCAACAACAGCCAUAGCCAGGGGCGACAGCGAUGAUGCCGUCACUUCC
Centropristis striata (black sea bass) is the source of this 510-nucleotide long non-coding RNA. RefSeq lists it as uncharacterized. NCBI's taxonomy places the organism in Eukaryota, Metazoa, Chordata, Actinopteri, Perciformes, Serranidae. The transcript is spliced from 3 exons. The record is from RefSeq and is a predicted model, not a curated record.